GACGAACGCUGGCGGCGUGCUUAACACAUGCAAGUCGAACGGAAAGGCCCUGCUUUUGUGGGGUGCUCGAGUGGCGAACGGGUGAGUAACACGUGAGUAACCUUCCCUUGACUUUGGGAUAACUUCAGGAAACUGGGGCUAAUACCGGAUAGGAGCUCCUGCUGCAUGGUGGGGGUUGGAAAGUUUCGGCGGUUGGGGAUGGACUCGCGGCUUAUGAGCUUGUUGGUGGGGUAGUGGCUUACCAAGGCUUUGACGGGUAGCCGGCCUGAGAGGGUGACCGGCCACAUUGGGACUGAGAGACGGCCCAGACUCCUACGGGAGGCAGCAGUGGGGAAUAUUGCACAAUGGGCGGAAGCCUGAUGAAGAAACGCCGCGUGCGGGAUGACGGCCUUCGGGUUGUAAACCGCUUUCGCCUGUGACGAAGCGUGAGUGACGGUAAUGGGUAAAGAAGCACCGGCUAACUACGUG
Molecule: ribosomal RNA, 468 nt
Filed under: uncultured bacterium
Lineage: Bacteria
Description: partial 16S ribosomal RNA
Rfam family: Bacterial small subunit ribosomal RNA
Source: RNAcentral